UAGUCAUAUGCUUGUCUCAAAGAUUAAGCCAUGCAUGUCUAAGUAUAAGCAAAUUUUACAGUGAAACUGCGAAUGGCUCAUUAAAUCAGUUAUCGUUUAUUUGAUGUUCCCUUACUACAUGGAUACCUGUGGUAAUUCUAGAGCUAAUACAUGCUUCAAAGCCCAGCCUCUGGUUGGGCUGCACUUAUUAGAUAAAAAACCAAUGCCUUCACGGGCUCUUUGGUGAUUCAUAGUAAUUUAGCGGACCGCAUGGCCUUGAGCCGGCGGUGGAUCAUUC
This 277-nucleotide ribosomal RNA is filed under the name uncultured eukaryote. Its description in RNAcentral is "partial 18S ribosomal RNA". It matches the Rfam family "Eukaryotic small subunit ribosomal RNA", at positions 21 to 300 of the family's 1831-position model. The record is from RNAcentral.